CGUAGAGAAAUCGAGUCUUAAUAGGGCGUUUAGUUGCUGGGUAUAGACCCGAAACCAGGCGAUCUAUCCAUGAGCAGGUUGAAGGUUGGGUAACACUAACUGGAGGACCGAACCCACUGUCGUUGAAAAGCCAGGGGAUGACUUGUGGAUAGGGGUGAAAGGCUAAUCAAGCCUGGUGAUAGCUGGUUCUCCCCGAAAGCUAUUUAGGUAGCGCCUCGGACGAAUACCAUAGGGGGUAGAGCACUGUUUCGGCUAGGGGGUCAUCCCGACUUACCAAACCGAUGCAAACUCCGAAUACCUAUGAGUACUAUCCGGGAGACAGACUGCGGGUGCUAACGUCCGUAGUCAAGAGGAAAACAAUCCAGACCGCCAGCUAAGGCCCCAAAAUCAUAGUUAAGUGGGAAACGAUGUGGGAAGGCAUAGACAGCUAGGAGGUUGGCUUAGAAGCAGCCACCCUUUAAAGAAAGCGUAAUAGCUCACUAGUCGAGUCGGCCUGCGCGGAAGAUGUAACGGGGCUAAAACUAUGUGCCGAAGCUGCGGAUUUGACAUUAGUCAAGUGGUAGGGGAGCGUUCUGUAAGCCGAUGAAGGUGUAUUGAGAAGUAUGCUGGAGGUAUCAGAAGUGCGAAUGCUGACGUGAGUAACGACAAAACGGGUGAAAAACCCGUUCGCCGAAAGACCAAGGGUUCCAGUCCAACGUUAAUCGGGGCUGGGUGAGUCGACCCCUAAGGCGAGGCCGAAAGGCGUAGUCGAUGGGAAAAUGGUUAAUAUUCCAUUACUUCUGUGUAAUGCGAUGAGAGGACGGAGAAGGCUAAAUCAGCCUGGCGUUGGUUGUCCAGGUGAAAGGAUGUAGGCAUGUAUCUUAGGCAAAUCCGGGGUACUCUAUGCUGAGAUCUGAUAGCAAGCUGUACUUGUACAGCGAAGUGGUUGAUGCCAUGCUUCCAGGAAAAGUCUCUAAGCUUCAGUUACACAGGAAUCGUACCCGAAACCGACACAGGUGGUCAGGUCGAGUAGACCAAGGCGCUUGAGAGAACUCUGCUGAAGGAACUAGGCAAAAUGGUACCGUAACUUCGGGAGAAGGUACGCUGUUGUUGGUGAUGGAACUCGCUUCCUGAGCUGACGACAGCCGCAGAAACCAGGCCGCUGCAACUGUUUAUUAAAAACAUAGCACUCUGCAAACACGAAAGUGGACGUAUAGGGUGUGAUGCCUGCCCGGUGCUGGAAGGUUAAUUGAUGGGGUUAGCGUAAGCGAAGCUCUUGAUCGAAGCCCCAGUAAACGGCGGCCGUAACUAUAACGGUCCUAAGGUAGCGAAAUUCCUUGUCGGGUAAGUUCCGACCUGCACGAAUGGCAUAAUGAUGGCGGCGCUGUCUCCAGCAGAGGCUCAGUGAAAUCGAAAUCGCUGUGAAGAUGCAGUGUACCCGCGGCUAGACGGAAAGACCCCGUGAACCUUUACUGCAGCUUGACACUGAACUUUGACCUUACUUGUGUAGGAUAGGUGGGAGGCUUUGAAGCUGGAACGCUAGUUCCAGUGGAGCCGUCCUUGAAAUACCACCCUGGUAAUGUUGAGGUUCUAACUCUGUCCCGUGAUCCGGGACGAGGACCGUGUCUGGUGGGUAGUUUGACUGGGGCGGUCUCCUCCUAAAGAGUAACGGAGGAGUACGAAGGUGCGCUCAGCGUGGUCGGAAAUCACGCGUAGAGUAUAAAGGCAAAAGCGCGCUUAACUGCGAGACCCACAAGUCGAGCAGGUACGAAAGUAGGUCUUAGUGAUCCGGUGGUUCUGUAUGGAAGGGCCAUCGCUCAACGGAUAAAAGGUACUCUGGGGAUAACAGGCUGAUACCGCCCAAGAGUUCAUAUCGACGGCGGUGUUUGGCACCUCGAUGUCGGCUCAUCUCAUCCUGGGGCUGAAGCAGGUCCCAAGGGUAUGGCUGUUCGCCAUUUAAAGAGGUACGCGAGCUGGGUUUAGAACGUCGUGAGACAGUUCGGUCCCUAUCUACCGUGGGCGCUGGAAAUUUGAGAGGAUCUGCUCCUAGUACGAGAGGACCAGAGUGGACGAACCUCUGGUGUACCGGUUGUGACGCCAGUCGCAUCGCCGGGUAGCUAUGUUCGGAAGGGAUAACCGCUGAAAGCAUCUAAGCGGGAAGCCUACCUCAAGAUAAGAUUUCCCUAGGACUUUAUGUCCUCUAAAGAGCCGUUCGAGACUAGGACGUUGAUAGGUUGGAUGUGGAAGCAUAGUGAUAUGUGAAGCUGACCAAUACUAAUUGCUCGUGAGGCUUGACUAU
RNAcentral lists this ribosomal RNA (2278 nucleotides) under Acinetobacter baumannii. Its description in RNAcentral is "partial 23S ribosomal RNA". It matches the Rfam family "Bacterial large subunit ribosomal RNA", at positions 667 to 2925 of the family's 2925-position model. Lineage: Bacteria; Pseudomonadati; Pseudomonadota; Gammaproteobacteria; Moraxellales; Moraxellaceae. The record is from RNAcentral.